GUGGGGAAUCUUCCACAAUGGACGAAAGUCUGAUGGAGCAACGCCGCGUGAGUGAAGAAGGGUUUCGGCUCGUAAAGCUCUGUUGUCGGGGACGAAUGUGCAGUAUUUGAAUAAAGUAGUGCAAUGACGGUACCUGACGAGGAAGCCACGGCUAACUACGUGCCAGCAGCCGCAGUAAUACGUAGGUGGCAAGCGUUGUCCGGAAUUAUUGGGCGUAAAGGGAGCGCAGGCGGGAAGGUAAGUCGGUCUUAAAAGUGCGGGGCUCAACCCCGUGAUGGGAUCGAAACUAUCUUUCUUGAGUGCAGGAGAGGAAAGUGGAAUUCCUAGUGUAGCGGUGAAAUGCGUAGAUAUUAGGAGGAACACCAGUGGCGAAGGCGACUUUCUGGACUGUAACUGACGCUGAGGCUCGAAAGCCAGGGGAGCGAACGGGAUUAGAAACCCCAGUAGUCC
RNAcentral lists this ribosomal RNA (450 nucleotides) under uncultured bacterium. Its description in RNAcentral is "partial 16S ribosomal RNA". It matches the Rfam family "Bacterial small subunit ribosomal RNA", at positions 354 to 796 of the family's 1533-position model. The record is from RNAcentral.